CGCCUGUAAUCCCAGCACUUCGGGAGGCCGAGGCGGGCGGAUCACGAGAUCAGGAGAUCGAGAUCAUCCUGGCUAACACAGUGAAACCCUGUCUCUACUAAAAAAUACAAAAAAUUAGAGGGGCGUGGUGGCGAGCUCCUAUGUAACUUCCCUGCAUUUGUGAUUUUCCCUCUUAAAGAUAACUCUGAAAUUAGAAAUCAAUAUAACGGGUGCUCUGAAAACACUCAUUAAAACAUUCUAAUUAGGCAAAGGUAUAUACUACAAUAGAAGGAAGUAGAAUUUUUUUUUUUUUUUUUUUUUUUUUUUUAAGGUGGAGUUUCACUCUUGUCACCCAGACUGGAGUGCAAUGGCGUAAUCUCAGCUCACUGCAA
RNAcentral lists this long non-coding RNA (371 nucleotides) under Pan troglodytes (chimpanzee). RNAcentral's name for it is "long non-coding RNA NONPTRT014556". Lineage: Eukaryota; Metazoa; Chordata; Mammalia; Primates; Hominidae. The record is from RNAcentral.